AACGAACGCUGGCGGCAUGCCUAACACAUGCAAGUCGAACGAGAUCUUCGGGUCUAGUGGCGCACGGGUGCGUAACGCGUGGGAAUCUGCCCUUUGGUUCGGAAUAACAGUUGGAAACGACUGCUAAUACCGGAUGAUGACGAAAGUCCAAAGAUUUAUCGCCAGAGGAUGAGCCCGCGUAGGAUUAGCUAGUUGGUGUGGUAAAGGCGGAACAAGGCGACGAUCCUUAGCUGGUCCGAGAGGACGAUCAGCCACGCUGGGACUGAGACACGGCCCCGACUCCUACGGGAGGAAGCAGUGGGUAAUAUUGGACAAUGGGCGAAAGCCUGAUCCAGCAAUGCCGCGUGAGUGAUGAAGGCCUUAGGGUUGUAAAGCUCUUGUCCCCGGGAUGAUAAUGACAGUACCGGAAGAAUAAGCUCCGGCUGACUCCGUGCCAGCAGCCGCCGUAA
This 449-nucleotide ribosomal RNA is filed under the name uncultured bacterium. RNAcentral describes it as "partial 16S ribosomal RNA". It matches the Rfam family "Bacterial small subunit ribosomal RNA", at positions 29 to 523 of the family's 1533-position model. The record is from RNAcentral.